This 241-nucleotide ribosomal RNA is filed under the name uncultured bacterium. Its description in RNAcentral is "partial 16S ribosomal RNA". It matches the Rfam family "Bacterial small subunit ribosomal RNA", at positions 81 to 339 of the family's 1533-position model. The record is from RNAcentral.
CGGGUACGAGUAGAGUGGCAAACGGGUGCGUAACACGUGGGAACCUACCCUUUGGUUCGGAAUAGCCCUGGGAAACUGGGAUUAAUACCGGAUAAGAACUACGGUUGAAAGAUUUAUCGCCGAAGGAUGGGCCCGCGCUAGAUUAGCUUGUUGGUAAGGUAAUGGCUUACCAAGGCUACGAUCUAUAGCUGGUUUGAGAGGAUGAUCAGCCACACUGGGACUUAGAUACGGCCCAGACUCC